This 1372-nucleotide ribosomal RNA is filed under the name uncultured bacterium. RNAcentral's name for it is "bacterial SSU rRNA". It matches the Rfam family "Bacterial small subunit ribosomal RNA", at positions 28 to 1381 of the family's 1533-position model. The record is from RNAcentral.
GAUGAACGCUGGCGGCGUGCCUAAUACAUGCAAGUCGAGCGAACGGACGAGAAGCUUGCUUCUCUGAUGUUAGCGGCGGACGGGUGAGUAACACGUGGAUAACCUACCUAUAAGACUGGGAUAACUUCGGGAAACCGGAGCUAAUACCGGAUAAUAUUUUGAACCGCAUGGUUCAAAAGUGAAAGACGGUCUUGCUGUCACCUAUAGAUGGAUCCGCGCUGCAUUAGCUAGUUGGUAAGGUAACGGCUUACCAAGGCAACGAUGCAUAGCCGACCUGAGAGGGUGAUCGGCCACACUGGAACUGAGACACGGUCCAGACUCCUACGGGAGGCAGCAGUAGGGAAUCUUCCGCAAUGGGCGAAAGCCUGACGGAGCAACGCCGCGUGAGUGAUGAAGGUCUUCGGAUCGUAAAACUCUGUUAUUAGGGAAGAACAUAUGUGUAAGUAACUGUGCACAUCUUGACGGUACCUAAUCAGAAAGCCACGGCUAACUACGUGCCAGCAGCCGCGGUAAUACGUAGGUGGCAAGCGUUAUCCGGAAUUAUUGGGCGUAAAGCGCGCGUAGGCGGUUUUUUAAGUCUGAUGUGAAAGCCCACGGCUCAACCGUGGAGGGUCAUUGGAAACUGGAAAACUUGAGUGCAGAAGAGGAAAGUGGAAUUCCAUGUGUAGCGGUGAAAUGCGCAGAGAUAUGGAGGAACACCAGUGGCGAAGGCGACUUUCUGGUCUGUAACUGACGCUGAUGUGCGAAAGCGUGGGGAUCAAACAGGAUUAGAUACCCUGGUAGUCCACGCCGUAAACGAUGAGUGCUAAGUGUUAGGGGGUUUCCGCCCCUUAGUGCUGCAGCUAACGCAUUAAGCACUCCGCCUGGGGAGUACGACCGCAAGGUUGAAACUCAAAGGAAUUGACGGGGACCCGCACAAGCGGUGGAGCAUGUGGUUUAAUUCGAAGCAACGCGAAGAACCUUACCAAAUCUUGACAUCCUUUGACAACUCUAGAGAUAGAGCUUUCCCCUUCGGGGGACAAAGUGACAGGUGGUGCAUGGUUGUCGUCAGCUCGUGUCGUGAGAUGUUGGGUUAAGUCCCGCAACGAGCGCAACCCUUAAGCUUAGUUGCCAUCAUUAAGUUGGGCACUCUAAGUUGACUGCCGGUGACAAACCGGAGGAAGGUGGGGAUGACGUCAAAUCAUCAUGCCCCUUAUGAUUUGGGCUACACACGUGCUACAAUGGACAAUACAAAGGGCAGCGAAACCGUGAGGUCAAGCAAAUCCCAUAAAGUUGUUCUCAGUUCGGAUUGUAGUCUGCAACUCGACUACAUGAAGCUGGAAUCGCUAGUAAUCGUAGAUCAGCAUGCUACGGUGAAUACGUUCCCGGGUCU